Long non-coding RNA from Mesocricetus auratus (golden hamster), 1365 nucleotides. RefSeq lists it as uncharacterized. The transcript is spliced from 3 exons. Lineage: Eukaryota; Metazoa; Chordata; Mammalia; Rodentia; Cricetidae. The record is from RefSeq and is a predicted model, not a curated record.
CCUAGGGAAAUUAUAAGGUAAUCAGGUUCUGUUGUUUUGUUGACAUAACAGCAGUAACAAAAAAAAAUAGGGGGCAGGUUAGAUGGCUCAGUGGGUAAGGGGAACUGUUGCCAAGUCUGGAACCCAUAUACCAGGAAAGAAUUGACUCUUGCAAGCUGUUCUCUAACCUCCACACAUACUCUAAGAAUAAAUGUAAAAUACGAAAUGAAUUUAAAUCCUUUAGUAGUCGGCUGUGGAAAAAGCUUACUUAGCUGUACGGUUAAUAAUAACCUAAGCAGCUGGGUGUGGCCAUCGUUAAGACCUCUAUAUAAAGGGAAUGUCCUGAAGUUGGUGAGGGAAUGGCUGGUUCAUAGCAUCCUUCUGCCAUUGCUGCUUAGACUCAGCAGCUGAACAGCUGUCUUUAUGGUGGGUUGUCCUUCCAUAGGGAACCAGUAGACUCAUUUAACAGUGAUUAGGAUUCUUGUGGCUACUUCCUGAAUAUUCACGGGUGCUAGUGUACAUGUAGUAAAGCACCCACAGUUAAAGUGCUUAGGAUGCUUGAGUUGAAAGGCUCAUCAUUUCCAGCAUCAAAAACUGCAAAAGUGCCUCUCCUUACUCAAAGUUUAGGAACUUCAUAAUAUAGUCUUAUUCUAGCCCAGGCUCAGCUUGAAUUAAGCAAUCCUGACCUUCCUACCUGUUAGGACUACAGGUGUGAUACCUGGUCCUGUUUUAUGUGGUGCUGGAUACUGAAUCCUGAAUUUCUUACUACAACUUAGUCUGCUUUUCUGGAGAAAGAAUCGAAGCCUUCAUUAGCCUAUUAAAAGACUGGAAGCCCUCCUCCCAUUGUUAACUACACUUUUGUUAAGGAAAGUCUUCUUGUACCAAUGAUAUCCUAUCAUUUACUUAAUGUAUUAACUCCUGAAACUAUAGCUUUAUUUCUUAUUUCCUUCCAAGAAAGCUGUGACAAAGAUACCAGAGAGGCCCUGAUGCUUCAGGUCGGUGACCAAGGUCAGAAGUGGAACCCAUCAGCACUACAACCCUGCACUGGCUAUCUGACUUCAGGAGUAACUCCACUCGAUCUGCAACCCACUCAAAGUUCUUCUUCACCAUCUGUAGUCCUUCCGGAGUUACUUCCUUGAGGUCACGGUCUAUGUGUUUUGUCUGCACACAAUAUGCCAUUUGUUCCCCGUAUGCAUGCCUGGUGCCAGAGGAGGCCAGAACAGGGAACCAUAUAUCCUAGAACCAGAGUUACAAGCAGAUGUGAGCAACCAUAUAGGUGACUGGUGGUACUUGAACAUCUCUGCAGGCCCUAAUUUGUCACUCUUAUAGUUCUUUUAGGUUAUUUAGAUGAGUCAUUUUUCUAGGUAAUAAAAUACUUAAACCAAA